Molecule: long non-coding RNA, 1520 nt
Organism: Vicia villosa (hairy vetch)
Lineage: Eukaryota; Viridiplantae; Streptophyta; Magnoliopsida; Fabales; Fabaceae
Exons: 5
Source: RefSeq, a predicted model, not a curated record
CGUUCUCAUUCUUGUUAUCAAUGUAUAGAGAAAAAAAAAUCAGAAACCAAAAACCCUAUUUCUCUGGUACUCGUUUUCGAUCAAGCGUCAGAAACAUAAUUCCUCUGUGUUCCCCUGAAUCACAAAUUCUCUGAAUCGGUUGAACUCUUGCUCUGAAUCAAUCGAACUCUCGCUCCAAAUUGAUCAAACUCUCGCUCUGAAUUGAUCCAACUCUCGCUCUGAAUUGAUCAACUCUCGCUCUGAAUCGAUCUUAGAAUGUUCUCGUUCACACCAUCUCGCUUAGAAUCGAUAUUUCGAUAGUGUUCGAACUACGUUUCUCUGAAUCACUGCAUUCUCUGCCAUCUACAACAUCAAUCUUCAUUUUUUUCUCAAUAUACGGUUUUGAUAGCGUGUCUAACACUUUCAAUUACUUUUGAUAUGCUUUUUAGGGUUCCUGUUUCAGCGGUGUCUCAAGAGUCAAUCUUCACAAUCGCAAGUGAAGUAAAGUUGUUGAUGAAGGUCCUGUUGUUUAUGGGCCACAGUUAUUUUUUGAAUUUGAUUUUCGCCAUCGUCGGUUGGGGUUCUGCUUACACUGCUGUUGCAAUUCUUGCUUCUUUUCAAGCCGUCAGUUAUCACUGCACCACUUUCUGAACUCGGCGAAGAAACUGUUCACAAUUUCAUAAGACUAAAAUGGGUUAUGCACAGCUUGUUAUUGGUCAUGCUGACAGUGGCAAGUCUACAUAUUGCUCAAGUUUGUACCAACAUUAUUAAACUGUACGACGGACAAUACAUACUGUGAGCCUUAAUCCUGCUGCUGAAAAGUUUGACUAUCCUGUUGCGAUGGGUAAGCAGAAUGCAUUGUGUUGUGUGGCUUCUUCUUUUGUUACUUCAGGCUUAAACAUUAAAAAACUUGUUUAUUUUUCUUAAAUCUUAACUGCUUUAAUAGUUGUUGCCCUGUUUUUAUAAAUUUGUAAUUGGUUGUGGCAUCAUUUUGCCUUAAUUGGUUUAGUAACAGAACUCGUGGCUUGUGGAUGCUUUGAUGUUCAAGUUGGGAAAUGAUCCUUUACAUUUGGGUUUCUAUGACGAAGACGACAAUUUGAGUGUUUGUAACCCCUCCCGUUGCAAUAUGACGCGCUCAAGACUAUUCCUAGCCUAGAUGCAAAACUUUCUAAUAUGUCUUGGGACUUCAGCUGCACCAUCUCAACUACCACCCUAUGGCUUUAAGAAUGGUGAUAAGGAAUUCAAUUUAGUUUAUGGGGCUCUCACUGCUGCUAGUCUGCAAGUGAAGUGAUACAACAAUUGAAUUAGAAGAAUUAUGAUUUCAUUCCAAUAAAAGCAAGUGAGUCUUUCAAAAUUGUGUUGCUGUCAAUAGGAACAAGAUGUAGUGGAGACUCCAGGGAUUCUUGCUUCUUUGGAAAAGUUACUUUCAUUUAAUGACUAGGUACACUCAUAUUAGCUUUAGGUUUUGUUGUAUCUGCUGGUAAAGAAAAUGAUUAUCAUGUUGAAUUAGUUUUUCCAAGUGAUUGAUCUUCUUCUAACAA